This 569-nucleotide ribosomal RNA is filed under the name Salmonella enterica. RNAcentral's name for it is "partial 23S ribosomal RNA". It matches the Rfam family "Bacterial large subunit ribosomal RNA", at positions 661 to 1227 of the family's 2925-position model. Lineage: Bacteria; Pseudomonadati; Pseudomonadota; Gammaproteobacteria; Enterobacterales; Enterobacteriaceae. The record is from RNAcentral.
GGGAGCCGGAGGGAAACCGAGUCUUAAUUGGGCGUUAAGUUGCAGGGUAUAGACCCGAAACCCGGUGAUCUAGCCAUGGGCAGGUUGAAGGUUGGGUAACACUAACUGGAGGACCGAACCGACUAAUGUUGAAAAAUUAGCGGAUGACCUGUGGCUGGGGGUGAAAGGCCAAUCAAACCGGGAGAUAGCUGGUUCUCCCCGAAAGCUAUUUAGGUAGCGCCUCGUGAAUUCAUCUCCGGGGGUAGAGCACUGUUUCGGCUAGGGGGCCAUCCCGGCUUACCAACCCGAUGCAAACUGCGAAUACCGGAGAAUGUUAUCACGGGAGACACACGGCGGGUGCUAACGUCCGUCGUGAAGAGGGAAACAACCCAGACCGCCAGCUAAGGUCCCAAAGUCAUGGUUAAGUGGGAAACGAUGUGGGAAGGCCCAGACAGCCAGGAUGUUGGCUUAGAAGCAGCCAUCAUUUAAAGAAAGCGUAAUAGCUCACUGGUCGAGUCGGCCUGCGCGGAAGAUGUAACGGGGCUAAACCAUGCACCGAAGCUGCGGCAGCGACGCUUAUGCGUUGUUGG